CAUUUUAAUCUGAAAUGACAAAAUCCCAAUAAUAAAAGCAUGCAAAGUUUCUGAAUUUACAGUAUAUUGGUUGGAAAUUAAAAUUCAAUAGUAAUGGAAAUACAAAAUAAUCAUAUAAAUGUCAGUAACAAACAAAAAAUAAGGAAGUUUUCCAAAAACCUGAUUAUGUUUCAAAAACAAAUUUAGCAGUGGUAUAAUUUCUAAUUUUCCAUAUCAAGUUGAAUUAAAAUGUGUCUAAAAAAGAAUGUAUAUUUUAUCAUAAAAUUAUGAGCAAUUCAGUCCUAAUAUAGAUAAGUCAGUAUGUGCAAUACUGGUGAUGUUGCCAUGUUGAUAUAAAUCAUAAGUUAAUAUUGCUUUCAGGGUCAGUCUAAUCUACUGCCUACUUUUUUUCAAAAUGUUUUGACUUGGAUUUUUUUUUUUUUUUUGAAGUUACAGUCAACUUUAAUUAUUGGAUUAAAAAUAAUAAUAAUAAUAAAGUCUCCAAGGGUCUUAUUUUGACAACCUGGUAUCUUUACAUAACAAAGUUCCAGUAUUAAUUUAGAAAAUUUCUGGGAAACAUUUCAGAUGGCUUUUGUUUUCAUCCAUCCUCUUGUUUCCCUGGAUUUUUAACUAGAGGCUCUCAAGAGCCUGUGUCGCUCACCUUGGUCUAUGUGCAUAUUAACAAUAAACACAGAUAAAUUCAUGACAAAAUUGAGUUUUGGUGAUGGUGAUGUGUUUGUAGAUCUUUCUUUACUGAAUAUUCUUGUUGCUACAAUUAUCUCUAUCUAUAAUGAACUUGGCCCAGUAAUUACAGUGGAAAAUAUUUCCUAAAAAUUUACAAAAAUUAACAAAAAUUUAUGAAAAUUGUUAACAAUUGACUAUAAAGAGCAAUAACUCCUUAAGGGGUCAAUUGACAAUUUUGGUCUUGUUGACUUAUUUGUAGAUCUUAUUUUGCUGAACAUUAUUGCUGUUUACAGUUUAUCUCUAUCUAUAAUAAUAUUCAAGAUAAUAACCAAAAUCUGCAAAAUUUCCUUAAAAUUACUAAUUCGGGGGCAGCAAACCAACAACAGGUUGUCCGAUUUGUCUGAAAAUUUCAGGGCAGAUAGAUCUUGUCCUGAUAAUUAAUUUUAUCCCUGUCAGAUUUGCUCUAAAUGCUUUGGUUUUUGAGUUAUAAGCCAAAAAAUUUCCUUCAAAUUGACUAUAAAGGGCAAUAACUCCUUCAGGGGUCAACUGACCAUUUUAGUCAUAUUAACUUAUUUGUAGAUCUUACUUUGCUGAACAUUAUUGCUGAUUACAUUUUAUCUCUUUCUAUAAUAAUAUUCAAGAUAAUAACCAAAAUCUGAAAAAUUUCCUUCAAAUUACUUAUUUCGGGGCAGCAACCCAACAACCCGUUGUCGGAUUCAUUUGAAAGUUUCAGGGCAGAUAGAUUUUCACUUGAUGAAUGAUUUUACUCCAUGUCAGAUUUGCUCUAAAUGCUUUGGUUUCAGAGAUAUAAGUCAAAAUCUACAUUUCACCCCUAUGUUCUAUUUUUAGCCAUGGCAGCCAUCUUGGUUGGUUGGCCGGGUCACGCCAAACAUUUUUUAAACUAAAGACCCAAAGAUGAUUGUGGUCAAGUUUGGAUUAAUUUGGCCCUGUAGUUUCAGAGGAGAAGAUUUUUGUAAUAAAUUACUAAGAUUUACGAAAAAUGGUUAUAAAUUGACUAUAAAGGGCAAUAACUCCUAAAGGGGUCAACUGACCAUUUCGGUCAUGUUGACUUAUUUGUAAAUCUUACUUUUCUGAACAUUAUUGCUGUUUACAGUUAAUCUCUAUCUGUAAUAAUAUUCAAGAUAAUAACCAAAAACAGCAAAAUUUCCUUAAAAUUACCAAUUCAGGGGCAGCAACCCAACAACCGGUUGUCCGAUUCAUCUGAAAAUUUCAGGGCAGAGAGAUCUUGACCUGAUAAACAAUUUUACCCCUGUCAGAUUUGCUCUAAAUGCUUUGCUUUUUGAGUUAUAAGCCAAAAACUGCAUUUUACCCCUAUGUUCUAUUUUUUAGCCAUGGCAGCCAUCUUGGUUGGUUGGCGGGGUCACGCCACACAUUUUUAAAACUAGAUACCCCAAUGAUGAUUGUGGCCAAGUUUGGUUUAAUUUGGCCCAGUAGUUUCAGAGAAGAAGAUUUUUGUAAAAGUUAACGACGCAGGACGACGACGGACGCAAAGUGAUGGGAAAAGCUCACUUGGCCCUUUGAGCCAGGUGAGCUAAAAAUUGGUGGAUCAGAAUCAAAUACCUUUCUUUGUUUCCGAUAAGAAAAAGGAAUUUCAUUUAUAGAGGAAUAUUUUAAACAUAAUUCAUGUAAUCUUCGAAAUAAUUUAUGAAGUAAUUUCCAAGAAGAUGAUAACCACUGUUAAAAGUUUCAAAAGCUUAAGUAACCUCUAUGCUUUAUAAAAUUUUAACAUUAUUGUCAUUAGCAAAAUACUACAUGAUGAAGACAAAAACUAAAAUAAUAUGUACUGUUCAUACAAUUUUAAAAAGUUUAAUCUAGUAAAUCUGUUAACAAUGCCCAUGUGCAGCAUUCUGCAACUUAUAACAAUAUUUAUUACAAAAAUGAUGUUUAAUGACAAAAUGAACAGCAAUGAGCACCAAGAUUGAAGUAAAUGAUCCAAACCAUUCAUAAUAUUUGACCAUAUAAUUUUAAUAGCUAAAUCCAAAUGUUAUCAAUUAUAAACAAACUCUUUUUGGAAUUUUCAGACUUUUAUGAUUGAAAGGUCUUGGACGUUUGUUAAUGAUGAAAUACAUAAAAUAAAAGAAUAUCAUAAUGAUUCAUAUACAAGUCUUUUAAAA
RNAcentral lists this long non-coding RNA (2798 nucleotides) under Mytilus galloprovincialis (Mediterranean mussel). Lineage: Eukaryota; Metazoa; Mollusca; Bivalvia; Mytilida; Mytilidae. The record is from RNAcentral.